This 545-nucleotide ribosomal RNA is filed under the name uncultured bacterium. RNAcentral describes it as "bacterial SSU rRNA". It matches the Rfam family "Bacterial small subunit ribosomal RNA", at positions 775 to 1316 of the family's 1533-position model. The record is from RNAcentral.
AGACAAUAGAUACCCGGGUAGUCCACGCCCUAAACGAUGUCUACUAGUUGUUGGUGGAGUAAAAUCCAUGAGUAAACGCAGCUAAACGCGUGAAGUAGACCGCCUGGGGAGUACGGUCGCAAGAUUAAAACUCAAAUGAAUUGACGGGGGCCCGCACAAGCGGUGGAUUAUGUGGAUUAAUUCGAUGCAACGCGAAAACCUUACCUGGCCUUGACAUGUAACGAACUUUCCAGAGAUGGAUUGGUGCUCGAAAGAGAACGUUAACACAGGUGCUGCAUGGCUGUCGUCAGCUCGUGUCGUGAGAUGUUGGGUUAAGUCCCGCAACGAGCGCAACCCUUGCCAUUAAUUGCCAUCAUUUGGUUGGGCACUUUAAUGGGACUGCCGGUGACAAACCGGAGGAAGGUGGGGAUGACGUCAAGUCCUCAUGGCCCUUAUGGCCAGGGCUUCACACGUAAUACAAUGGUCGGUACAGAGGGUUGCCAACCCGCGAGGGGAGCCAAUCCCAGAAAGCCGAUCGUAGUCCGGAUUGUAGUCUGCAACUCGAC